Triticum urartu is the source of this 2242-nucleotide long non-coding RNA. RefSeq lists it as uncharacterized. NCBI's taxonomy places the organism in Eukaryota, Viridiplantae, Streptophyta, Magnoliopsida, Poales, Poaceae. The record is from RefSeq and is a predicted model, not a curated record.
CUCACAUCCUCGAUCCCCCAGACCCCAUGCCUCGUCUCUCCUCUCCUCCUCAUGACCACCGCCGCCGCCGCGCCCCUUCUCCUCCUCCUCCUCUGCCCAGCGCUGCCUCUCCUCCUCUCCUACUACCGGAUCCUCCCGCGUGCUGGCUUCUCCUCAAAGAGAAGGGUCACAUCCCGCAGGAGAAGAGGGGCGGCGCGGCAAAAUUGAGGAGUAGCGUCGCAGCUAGGUCUUGACGGUGGAGGUUGAGGAGCAGGGGAGGCCGAUGGUGGGGCGAAGGAGUAGCGUGGCCGGUGACCGGGGCAAGAAGCAGCGAGACAGCACUCCCAUCGCACUGGGAUGGAGCUGCAGGGGAGAAGGGGUGGUCAGCCCUUGUUCAUCAUGGCCGCCAUUGGCUUGCAGAGGCAACAGCACAGUCGUGGAGUACAUGUACAUCAAUGCCGACAGUGCCGGCAGCAACGACACGAGUCUCAAGAUGACGCUUUUGUGGCCAGUAAUGAAAACUGCUUAAAGAUGAGCCCACCCAGCCACCUGUCAUCCACAACCCUACUCCUCAAGCCAUUCUUGUCUCUACAGGCAGGUAAGCUCUUUCCUCCUCCCCCCUCUCUCUUUCGAAUUUAUGCUGGUAGAUGUGUUUGCUAUGGGUUCUGCUCCUGCCAGGCUUGGCUGCUGCUUGGCCUAACUCUACUUGUGCUGCUGCUAUGUGCUACUAUAUGUUGUUGGUUGCCUCCUUGGUUAUUUGUGAAUAUGAAAACACUUUGUGAGAAGCACGGAUUGUAGAGAAGGCUAUGAGCCAAUGAGAAGAGCUUCAUUUUUAGUUUUUUUUAAGAAUUGAUGAAGGACGUGUCAUAUGUUCAGUUGCUAACAUUCUCUCUAUGGUGUAUGCACUUGUUGUUCAUUGCAUUGGAGGGAGAGGAAAACUCUUUGUGAGAAGCAAGGAUUGAAGAGAAGGCUAUGAGCCAGUGAGAAAACCUGAACUUUAGUUUUUUAUUUAAGAAUUGAUGAAGGAUAUGUCGUACGUUCAGUUACUUACAUAUUCUCCAUGGUGUAUGUACCUGCUGUUCAUUGCAUUCGAGGGAGAGGACAACAAGAGUAAGAAAGUCUUGCGGCAUGAAGGCAGUAGCACGCAGCGCCAAGUCAAGCGCAUUGGCCUCGAUGGCAAGAGACCAGUACCAUCAGGUUCGCUUGACUGCUUGCUAGCCCGGCAUUGAACAAUACCCUUAAUAAAGCUACAUGGUGGACGCUAAUUGUCAUAUUUUGACCGACAAAUUUGUUUGAAUAGAUUAUACAAGAUUGAUGUGAUUAUCAGAUGAUUGCAGUCUACCCCAGGAGUACACGAGAAAGAAAUGCUACUGCUACAUUACUUCUGCUUGCCAAGGGAAAAGAGAGUUCCAUUGUAAAAUGAGAUGCCAGAUUUGCAUAGAUCAAUGAGGAUUCGUGCGGCAGGGAGGGGACUGGUGAUAAGAAACAUGGGUCCAAGAAGAAAUCAAAGAGCAUGUUGUAUACUUAUAUUGGCUGCGCUGAGCUUUUGGGAUAUAAUUUCGAAGGGUAUUCUUCCCAUAUGAUCAGUUCUGCGACGUGCACUCAUUUUUACUGCGAUGAAUGGUGUCUAAGUCUCCCUCUCUCUGUCACUCUCUGUGUGUGCCACUCUCUCUGAGAUUUGAAGGUAAGUUAUUAUUUCCUAUAAUCAAUCAUGAGGAUGUUACGAUUUCUAUUUAUUUCUGCGGUGGCCAAUAAAAUCUGACAAGAAGUUGUUAUCCACCUCCUUCCAUGAUGGUGAACCUCCAACUAUUGUUUCUUUUCCGGUAGGAUAUGCAUUUGAUCCAGUCCAUGUCUUGGCCUCUUUUUGAUGUGUGUAUUGCUAUGUUCUUCUUCCAGGUAUUGUUCAAUCCAUCAGUAGCUAGCGGAUGUCGUGCUGUGAUUAAGACUACGAGGCCGUAACGUUCAUCCCAACAUCAACUUUCGAUUGAAGUUACACAAAGAGGGAGGUUGUUCCACCAUAACAUGCAUUACUAGAGUCAAACUUCCUCAAUGUCAGUAUUCAUACUUUCCUGUAUUUGUGACAAGUGUCAACGGUAGUGACUGAGUGAGUGCGACUGAGACUGAACUAAUAAACAACUGUCAAGCUGUCUCGCUACCAACCGCAAGGUGGCCAAUUAGCUUCAAAUCAAUGUGGUACUUUUCCAGCAGGGAUUUGACAAUUGUCAAGCUGACACAACUUUCCGACUUGAGCAUUCAGAUAACG